UUAAGCGACUAAGCGUACACGGUGGAUGCCCUGGCAGUCAGAGGCGAUGAAGGACGUGCUAAUCUGCGAAAAGCGUCGGUAAGGUGAUAUGAACCGUUAUAACCGGCGAUGUCCGAAUGGGGAAACCCAGUGCAAUUCGUUGCACUAUCGUUAACUGAAUACAUAGGUUAACGAGGCGAACCGGGGGAACUGAAACAUCUAAGUACCCCGAGGAAAAGAAAUCAACCGAGAUUCCCCCAGUAGCGGCGAGCGAACGGGGAGCAGCCCAGAGUCUGAAUCAGCUUGUGUGUUAGUGGAACGGUCUGGAAAGUCCGACGGUACAGGGUGAUAGUCCCGUACACCAAAAUGCACAGGUUGUGAACUCGAAGAGUAGGGCGGGACACGUGGUAUCCUGUCUGAAUAUGGGGGGACCAUCCUCCAAGGCUAAAUACUCCUGACUGACCGAUAGUGAACCAGUACCGUGAGGGAAAGGCGAAAAGAACCCCGGCGAGGGGAGUGAAAAAGAACCUGAAACCGUGUACGUACAAGCAGUGGGAGCACCUUCGGGUGUGACUGCGUACCUUUUGUAUAAUGGGUCAGCGACUUAUAUUCUGUAGCAAGGUUAACCGUAUAGGGGAGCCGCAGGGAAACCGAGUCUUAACUGGGCGUUAAGUUGCAGGGUAUAGACCCGAAACCCGGUGAUCUAGCCAUGGGCAGGUUGAAGGUUGGGUAACACUAACUGGAGGACCGAACCGACUAAUGUUGAAAAAUUAGCGGAUGACUUGUGGCUGGGGGUGAAAGGCCAAUCAAACCGGGAGAUAGCUGGUUCUCCCCGAAAGCUAUUUAGGUAGCGCCUCGUGAACUCAUCUUCGGGGGUAGAGCACUGUUUCGGCUAGGGGGUCAUCCCGACUUACCAACCCGAUGCAAACUACGAAUACCGAAGAAUGUUAUCACGGGAGACACACGGCGGGUGCUAACGUCCGUCGUGAAGAGGGAAACAACCCAGACCGCCAGCUAAGGUCCCAAAGUCAUGGUUAAGUGGGAAACGAUGUGGGAAGGCACAGACAGCCAGGAUGUUGGCUUAGAAGCAGCCAUCAUUUAAAGAAAGCGUAAUAGCUCACUGGUCGAGUCGGCCUGCGCGGAAGAUGUAACGGGGCUAAACCAUGCACCGAAGCUGCGGCAGCGACACUAUGUGUUGUUGGGUAGGGGAGCGUUCUGUAAGCCUGCGAAGGUGACCUGUGAGGCAUGCUGGAGGUAUCAGAAGUGCGAAUGCUGACAUAAGUAACGAUAAAGCGGGUGAAAAGCCCGCUCGCCGGAAGACCAAGGGUUCCUGUCCAACGUUAAUCGGGGCAGGGUGAGUCGACCCCUAAGGCGAGGCCGAAAGGCGUAGUCGAUGGGAAACAGGUUAAUAUUCCUGUACUUGGUGUUACUGCGAAGGGGGGACGGAGAAGGCUAUGUUAGCCGGGCGACGGUUGUCCUGGUUUAAGCAUGUAGGCUGNGUCGCAAGACCAAAGUGGGGGACCUUCGGGCCUCAUGCCAUCAGAUGUGCCCAGAUGGGAUUAGCUAGUAGGUGGGGUAACGGCUCACCUAGGCGACGAUCCCUAGCUGGUCUGAGAGGAUGACCAGCCACACUGGAACUGAGACACGGUCCAGACUCCUACGGGAGGCAGCAGUGGGGAAUAUUGCACAAUGGGCGCAAGCCUGAUGCAGCCAUGCCGCGUGUGUGAAGAAGGCCUUCGGGUUGUAAAGCACUUUCAGCGGGGAGGAAGGCGGUAAGGUUAAUAACCUCAGCGAUUGACGUUACCCGCAGAAGAAGCACCGGCUAACUCCGUGCCAGCAGCCGCGGUAAUACGGAGGGUGCAAGCGUUAAUCGGAAUUACUGGGCGUAAAGCGCACGCAGGCGGUCUGUCAAGUCGGAUGUGAAAUCCCCGGGCUCAACCUGGGAACUGCAUUCGAAACUGGCAGGCUAGAGUCUUGUAGAGGGGGGUAGAAUUCCAGGUGUAGCGGUGAAAUGCGUAGAGAUCUGGAGGAAUACCGGUGGCGAAGGCGGCCCCCUGGACAAAGACUGACGCUCAGGUGCGAAAGCGUGGGGAGCAAACAGGAUUAGAUACCCUGGUAGUCCACGCCGUAAACGAUGUCGAUUUGGAGGUUGUGCCCUUGAGGCGUGGCUUCCGGAGCUAACGCGUUAAAUCGACCGCCUGGGGAGUACGGCCGCAAGGUUAAAACUCAAAUGAAUUGACGGGGGCCCGCACAAGCGGUGGAGCAUGUGGUUUAAUUCGAUGCAACGCGAAGAACCUUACCUGGUCUUGACAUCCACAGAACUUUCCAGAGAUGGAUUGGUGCCUUCGGGAACUGUGAGACAGGUGCUGCAUGGCUGUCGUCAGCUCGUGUUGUGAAAUGUUGGGUUAAGUCCCGCAACGAGCGCAACCCUUAUCCUU
This 2417-nucleotide ribosomal RNA is filed under the name Klebsiella pneumoniae BIDMC 33B. Its description in RNAcentral is "bacterial LSU rRNA". The stretch from base 1 to 1688 matches the Rfam family "Bacterial large subunit ribosomal RNA". The record is from RNAcentral. Lineage: Bacteria; Pseudomonadati; Pseudomonadota; Gammaproteobacteria; Enterobacterales; Enterobacteriaceae.